Molecule: transfer RNA, 79 nt
Filed under: Amanita jacksonii TRTC168611
Lineage: Eukaryota; Fungi; Basidiomycota; Agaricomycetes; Agaricales; Amanitaceae
Description: tRNA-Ser (TGA) (tRNA-Ser-TGA-2-1)
Rfam family: tRNA
About the family: Transfer RNA (tRNA) molecules are approximately 80 nucleotides in length. Their secondary structure includes four short double-helical elements and three loops (D, anti-codon, and T loops). Further hydrogen bonds mediate the characteristic L-shaped molecular structure. tRNAs have two regions of fundamental functional importance: the anti-codon, which is responsible for specific mRNA codon recognition, and the 3' end, to which the tRNAs corresponding amino acid is attached (by aminoacyl-tRNA synthetases). tRNAs cope with the degeneracy of the genetic code in two manners: having more than one tRNA (with a specific anti-codon) for a particular amino acid; and 'wobble' base-pairing, i.e. permitting non-standard base-pairing at the 3rd anti-codon position.
Source: RNAcentral
GGGUACUUGGUCGAGUCAGGUUUAUGGCGUUCGUCUUGAAUUCUAAAAAAAGUCGUGAGUUCGAAUCUCACAGUGCCCG